Molecule: non-coding RNA, 381 nt
Organism: Vicia faba (fava bean)
Lineage: Eukaryota; Viridiplantae; Streptophyta; Magnoliopsida; Fabales; Fabaceae
Source: the annotation of a GenBank genome assembly
AUUACUAUCACCUUCUACAACAUCCAUUUUCUGCUAAACUAUCUUCUAAUCACUAACAUCACCAUCAACAACACCGUUCAAUCCACACACCAAUCUCAACCUUAUUAUCAUCACAAUACUACAACGUUCACCAUAACCUCACUUCCAAAAAUCAACUCACCUUUCAAUCAUCCUACGAUUUCCAAAUCUCUUUCUCCCCCACGUGUUCCAUCAACCUCCCUCCUUAUCUCUUCCACUUCACAAUCUCACAACCAAUCCAACUCUCAUCCAAACCUCACAAUACCCUCUCAUCUCAAUACAGAGAAACAUACAACCAACAUCACAAUACAUUCUCCCUCACAGCCAAGAACAACAACACACACAAAAGAAAAACAAAAAUGA